AUUGAACGCUGGCGGCAGGCUUAACACAUGCAAGUCGAGCGAGUGGCGGACGGGUGAGUAAUGUCUGGGAAACUGCCUGAUGGAGGGGGUUAACUACUGGAAACGGUAGCUAAUACCGCAUACCAUCAGAUGUGCCCAGAUGGGAUUAGCUAGUAGGUGGGGUAAUGGAUAACCUAGGCGACGAUCCCUAGCUGGUCUGAGAGGAGGACCAGCCACACUGGAAAUGAGACACGGUCCAGACGCCUACGGGAGGCAGCAGUGGGGGAUAUUGCACAAUGGGCGCAAGCCUGAUGCAGCCAUGCCGCGUGUGUGAAGAAGGCCUUCGGGUUGUAAAGCACUUUCAGCGAGGAGGCGUUACUCGCAGAAGAAGCACCGGCUAACGCCGUGCCAGCAGCCGCGGUAAUUC
This 406-nucleotide ribosomal RNA is filed under the name uncultured bacterium. RNAcentral describes it as "partial 16S ribosomal RNA". It matches the Rfam family "Bacterial small subunit ribosomal RNA", at positions 30 to 526 of the family's 1533-position model. The record is from RNAcentral.